UACGUAGGGGGCAAGCGUUAUCCGGAAUUACUGGGCGUAAAGCGCACGCAGGCGGUCUGCCAAGUUCAGGGUGACAGUUUUCGGCUUAACCGAGAAAGGACUUUGAAAACUGGUAGACUUGAGAGCGAGAGAGGAACAUGGAACUCCAGGUGUAGUAGUGAAAUGCGUAGAUAUCUGGAAGAACACCGAAGGCGAAGGCAGUGUUCUGGCUCGUUUCUGACGCUCAGGUGCGAAAGCCAGGGGAGCGAACGGG
RNAcentral lists this ribosomal RNA (253 nucleotides) under uncultured bacterium. RNAcentral describes it as "partial 16S ribosomal RNA". It matches the Rfam family "Bacterial small subunit ribosomal RNA", at positions 524 to 776 of the family's 1533-position model. The record is from RNAcentral.